This 425-nucleotide ribosomal RNA is filed under the name uncultured bacterium. RNAcentral's name for it is "partial 16S ribosomal RNA". It matches the Rfam family "Bacterial small subunit ribosomal RNA", at positions 354 to 796 of the family's 1533-position model. The record is from RNAcentral.
GUGGGGAAUCUUGCGCAAUGGGCGAAAGCCUGACGCAGCCAUGCCGCGUGAAUGAUGAAGGUCUUAGGAUUGUAAAAUUCUUUCACCGGGGACGAUAAUGACGGUACCCGGAGAAGAAGCCCCGGCUAACUUCGUGCCAGCAGCCGCGGUAAUACGAAGGGGGCUAGCGUUGCUCGGAAUUACUGGGCGUAAAGGGCGCGUAGGCGGACAGUUUAGUCAGAGGUGAAAGCCCAGGGCUCAACCUUGGAAUUGCCUGUGAUACUGGCUGUCUUGAGUACGGCGGGGGUGAGUGGAACUCCGAGUGUAGAGGUGAAAUUCGUAGAUAUUCGGAAGAACACCAGUGGCGAAGGCGACUCACUGGCGCGUUACUGACGCUGAGGCGCGAAAGCGUGGGGAGCAAACAGGAUUAGAAACCCCUGUAGUCC